Molecule: ribosomal RNA, 338 nt
Filed under: uncultured bacterium
Lineage: Bacteria
Description: bacterial SSU rRNA
Rfam family: Bacterial small subunit ribosomal RNA
Source: RNAcentral
GACGAACGCUGGCGGCGUGCCUAACACAUGCAAGUCGAGCGAGGAGGAGGAAGCUUGCUUUCGAAUCCUAGCGGCGGACGGGUGAGUAACGCGUGAGCAAUCUGCCUUUUACAGGGGGAGUAACGCAUCGAAAGAUGUGCUAAUACCGCGUAAGACCACAGCACCGCAUGGUGCAGGGGUCAAAGAGCAAUCCGGUAAAAGAUGAGCUCGCGUCCGAUUAGCUAGUUGGUGAGAUAACAGCCCACCAAGGCGACGAUCGGUAGCCGACCUGAGAGGGUGAACGGCCACACUGGAACUGAGAAACGGACCAGACUCCUACGGGAGGCAGCAGUGGGGAA